This 8626-nucleotide long non-coding RNA is filed under the name Malus domestica (apple). RNAcentral's name for it is "long non-coding RNA (MDOM_LNC005833)". Lineage: Eukaryota; Viridiplantae; Streptophyta; Magnoliopsida; Rosales; Rosaceae. The record is from RNAcentral.
GGAGGUUCAAAUUGUUUUUUCUUCACAUAAUAUUAUUGAUGCUGUUCAGCGCACUAAAGGGGAUAAUAAAUGGGUUCGUGUCACUGGGGUGUAUGGGUGAUGUGAGAAUUACUUGACACACAAAUUAAACCCUCUUUUUGACAAUUGUAGUAUAGAUGUAAGUAGGGUAUCGUUAUAGGCCGGGGAUUAGGAGGGAUUGCUAAUCUAUUCUAAAUUAAUUUAAAAAUAUUAAACAAGACUCAAGGACACAAAACUAGGCUAAAAACUCUAAUAACUCGAAACACACUUAGAAUGACUCAAAAUAAUGAAAACAAUCAAAUUAGACACUAGGAACUGAAAUGGACGGAAACUGAAUUAAAAGACUAACAAAAAUGAAAACUAACUAAAUAAUAUAAUUUAAUAAUGGGAGGGGUUGGUUUUGACGAGAAGUAAAUUAAACUUAAAUAAAUUACAGAAUUGACAAAAGCAUGAAAUUAAGGUGAAAGGAUAAGUGAUAGACUAGCUAGAGGGUUCUUCUCCACACAUGAUACAUAUGCAACCUAAAUUGAUUUUCAGUUGUUCUUUCAAUAAAUUGUGAAUCUCAAUACUUCAGAUUAACCGUGAACAACACUUUUUUAAUCUUCAAGUUUUCCUUAAGUUAUUGAAUUGGACGGAAAAACGCAUACAACAAUUCAAAACAUUCUUCAAAAGUCCCCUACGUGAAAAGCACAAUAGAGAUACAAUCAAGGAUCAUUAAACUUUGUGAAAACUAUAAGCAUUGACGAGGCAUUCGUAACUAUGAAAAGCAUGAUACUCUUGCCAAGAAUUUACUUAACGUGAUUGUGACUAGCAACCUUCACUACUUGUGAAUAUAUGUUCAUAACGAUUAGGUGAAAUUCACUUAUAUUCUAGCAUCAAAUUCAUGCAUGUAAAUUAAGUAUGCAUUCUUAAUCGACAUACAAAAAUAAGUUAUCAAUCAAACAGUUAAGCAAAUUAAAUCACAACUCAGAAAUCACAACUGAAGGUAAUCAAUUCAUAUUACAAAUAUAUUCAUGGUUUUGAAUUAACCUCUAGCCAAAAUAAAUUUAGUUACACAUUAUUAUCAAAUUAAACCAAAAAUUAAACAUGAGUUUGAGAAGAUAAAACCAAGAAAAUAGAGUGAAGCUUUGCUCUCUGUGCCCUGCUUGUUUCUGCUUCUGUGCCGUGGCCCUCUCUUUUUUCCGCGCGCCUGUUGACCUGCGCCUAUCCUCCUCACUGCUCUCUAUCCGCACAGUUUUCUGUGCUGCCUCUCCUUCUCUGCCUUCGUGUUCCUCACGCUGCCAAGGGCAGCUUUUUAUUCUGCCAGUCACGCCAGUCUCCCCUCUCUCUCGCUGCCAAAGGCAGCCUGUUUUUCCCCCUUUUUAUCGCCUGGCAAGUCCCUGACUUGCUCUCCCCGUGCCUCACGUCUCUCCUCUUUUUCCUCUGACCCCGCUGUCUCCUUGGAUUCUUCUUUUCACGUCCUCUCUGUUGAUGUAAACCAGCUGGUCCACCUGCGUCCCACGGCAGCUUGCACUUGCCCGUCUUCCCCUUGACCAUCUCGAGACUCCAAGCUUUUCUAGUCUCUCCUCUUAUUUUCUGUUAUGCACAAAAACAUGAAUCAUGAUGAUGUUUCAAACUUCAUCAUGAUUUAUCAUUAUUAUUUCUUUUAUUGAUUUUAUUUAAAAGCUGAUCUACACAGACAGGUUUGACGAAUUUAUUACAUAAAAUUUCACUUGUUCUAUUUUUAUUUUCUUUGCAUAACAAAUCCUAUAAACACAAAAAUAACGCAAAUAGCUCAAAAAUAUAAGGAACUAACUAAGAAAAGACGAGUGAAUUCGAAGUAAAAAUAUAUAUAAAUAUGAUCCGAUCAAAUACCCCCACACUUAACUUUUGCUAGUCCUCGAGCAAAACAAAGAAAACAAGAACAAGACGUAACAAGAAAAACAUUAGUUUCCCCCUAUGUGACCCUCAUAGAAUUUCAUUCAAGAAAACAAAUCAUCAAGAACCAUAGCUAGCAUCAAGGAACUAAUCCAAGUUCAUCUUCCUUAUUCAAAUAUUAGCAGUAAUCUUUAAAUCAUCCUUGAAGUGUAGUGUGUGAGAUAGCCAUGCUAAUGCAAUUUCAAGUUUUUAUUUUUAAAAUCAUCAUAUGCAAACUAGUAACCUUCUCACGGGAUAUACACUCAAUCACACAUGUGUUUAGUUUAAAUGUGUUUCGCUCAAAGAAUCAAAUGUGAAAUUUCUACCAUAAGCUUGCAUAAAGAUCUCAUCUCCACAAUCAUAAUUGCAAAACUUACAUCAAGAGGACUUUUAUUGGAUGUAAUGAGGUUUAGGGAGAGGGUUAUUGAAAUGAAAGAAUAGGUAAACACAAGUUCCAAGCUACAUUGCAAGCAAUUCUUUUCUUUAGAUUUAUAAGAACUCAAUCUUUCCAACGAUUCUUUUAGCAUCUCCAACCACACCCUUAAACUGAAACUUGAACAACUUUUUAUUUUCUUUGUGUGCAAUCUUUCUUUUUUCUUUUUCUUUUUCUCUCUUUUCUCCUUUUUUUUUUUUUUUUUCAUUUAUAUCAUUUUUUUUAAAUACAAACAUGAAAUACCCCCACACUUAUUCUUUUGCCAAACACCUUCAAAGUACUUCACAAACGUUUCUCAUAAGACAAUCUCGCAUUGCUCGCUUGGAAAGGGUAAGGAAAAAUGUUUCAGGUAUAAGGGUAGACAUAUCUGGUGAUAAGAAAUAAAAGGCUCAACAUACACGGCUCAAAUUGGCAAUCUAAUGAUAUCAUUUUUCUUUGGGAAACAUGGUUAUUUGGGCCAUAGUGGUAAACCUAAUGCCUCUAUCAUUUCCAAAUUCAUGCAAUCAAUGACAAACAUUUCGAAAGAUCGUUAUGCAAGUUCUAGAGAUGUAUCUCACAUAAGUUCAUCACACAUGAAAGAAUAGGAGUGUAUGAAAAAUGCACACACUUUCAAUAGGCUCAAAAACUCACAUAGGAUGUAUAUGGUCACUAAAUUCACAUAUGAAGCUUUAAGUCAUACUUUAGUUUCACAUUAACAAGGCUAUGUGCAUUUGGUUUUUCAAAGAUGGUCAAACAUGUACAAAACUAACAAGAGAAUUAGGAAUUUCACAAAACACAUGUUAACUAAGUUCUUGAUGAUCAUGGUUCAAAUUUGAUCCAAUUAUAUCAUUGGGUCGGGAAACUAACAAAAAAACUAAUUCAAAACAAUAAGGGAAACAAGACAAUAUUUUUUUGGAUUUUUAAAUUUUCCGAUUUUUUUAUUAUUAUUAUUAUUAUUAUUUUUAUUUUUUAUUUUUUAUUUUUUUAAAGAAAACAAAAAGCAACAACACAGAAACAAAUGAAAUUCUAGAGAUGUCUACCCCCACACUUAAACUGGACAUUGUCCCCAAUGUCAAAAAACACUAUAAUGCAAAUAAAAAUAAAAUAAAAUAAAAUAAAUAAAUAAUAAGAAACAAAAUAACGCAAUUGGACUGAAAACUUCCCUAGUUUGCAGUAAAACCAAGCGAUGACCCCCCAAGCUAAAAUUAUGCAAUCAACUUCAAGGGUGGAAAUAACCAAAAGUUCCUGCAAAGAAAAGAAAUAAUUCAGUUAAGUAACGCAAGAAAAUUAAAAAAAUUGCAAACGAAAAAUUGAAAAUCACGAUAAAAGACAAUGAAUAGAACUAAUAAGUGAUCAUUGGUCGUGCUUGUUGACUUUCCACAGCUUUCCACUUGAACAGGGUGACACUUAGCUUUUUACUUGCAAGUGAUGAUUUGAUGAUAUUGUACGGCGAGGCUUUGCUCUCUUUGGCGAAGAGUGCCUCCAAAUGUUGUUUGAAGCUGCUCGAGUUCUUGGAUUUCUCGCAAUCCUUCUCGCUGAUUUUCUCGCACUCCUUUUUCUGAGUUCUUCGCUGCUUGUUUCUUUCUUCCGUAUGGCAGGCAGGCACAAGGUAGCUGUGUUGGUCUGAUUCUUUCUUCAAUCUUUCCAAGUGCCCACCUCUUGCUUUCUUUCUCCUUGUCCCUAGCUGAGGAUGAAUUGACAAAUUGUCUCCACAUGCUUCGAGGUAUCAUUUUCACCUCCCUUACUUGUCCCCCAAGUAGAUGUGGUAGACAAAACGGAAACAUAAGAUGAAGAAGAUGAGUACUCGAGAGCAAGGCUAGGUAAGCAAUCAGGAAGGGGUUCAAGGCAGUUGGCUCCAAAUCGGAAGAUUGAUACCAAAUGCUGGCUGAUUGCUCUCUUUCUCAUUUUCGUAAAACAAAGACAAGGAGAAGGACAGGGAGAAAGCAUGAUAUGAGAUACUCUUGCUUUCAACCUUUAUGAUAUGAAAUACUUUUGCUUUGAAUGUGUUGUUCGCAGGAGUAUCCCAAGGAAUGAGGAACACAGAGUAACUUAGGAGGAUUCUUUGGGGAUGCAUUUUCGGAGAUGAAGAAGGUUUGAGUGAGGCUACUUUGCAAUGAAGUUUAACAUUUAUAGAAUUUUCUUAAUGGCUGGUAGAGGUACUGUUCAAUUAUCCUAGGGUUACCGACACGAGUAAAAGAACAGUGCAACGUGCUUUCCCACUUCACCAUAAAUUUUCGACCAGCUAUUCGUGAUUUCCGCAAAGCAGAUUCCUCAUUGAUAUCUGGAAUCGGCGCUUCGAGCUCUGAGCAUCGUCGAUUGUAGAGGUAGCAUGUGACACGUGCGGAUAAAUCUGGAAAAGAAGAUUUGCCCGUGGGUUGAAGCCCAGCUUUUGAGAAAGCUAGCGUGUCUUUGACUGUUGAAUUUCCCUCUUUGAUUUCUGAAUUGGUGCUUCGACAAACUGCCCGAGAUUUUUGCAAAGCAAUUUGCGUGUGACGAGUGACGACACGUCUGGACAAAUUGAUCUUUUGAAAUCCGGGGUUCGGCUCGUGGUUUCUGAGCAAGCCCAACUUUUAAGAAAUGAAACGCCUCUUUUGAGAAAAGAAUCCGGCUUUUGAUAAAGGAGCCCCGACUCUUCGAUUUGCGAGAGGGCGCCUCUUCGAUUUUUGAGGAGCGCCUCUUUGAUUUCUUCUUUUUAUAGAGGCGUUAAUUUUGUUCCACAACACACUUGAACUCCCUCCUGUAAACACUCCCUCCUGUAAACUUCCAAAAUCUUAAUCUGUCCGAUCUCUUCUUUCUCAACACCUUCAGAAAAUGUCUGGCCCUUUCGAUCGUCGUUUUGGCUUGAACAUUGGUGAAGAGGCAGCUCCGCCUUCACCAGACAACAUAUGGCGCCCAUCUUUCAUAUCCCCUACAGGUCCUCUUACCGUUGGGGAUUCGGUGAUGAAAAAUGACAUGACCGCUGCGGUGGUGGCCCGAAACCUUGUCACCCCCAGAGAUAACAGACUGCUCGCUAGACGGUCUGAUGAAUUGGCGGUUAAGGAGUCUCUGGCUCUUAGCGUGCAGUGUGCGGGUUCUGUGUCCAACAUGGCCUAACGCCUAUUUGCUCGAACCCGUCACGUUGAAUCGUUGGUGGCUGAAAUACAGAGUCUCAAGCAAGAGAUUAGAGGGCUCAAGCAUGAGAAUAAAGAGUUGCACAAGCUCACACAUAGCUAUGCCACCAACAUGAAGAGGAAAAUUGACCAGAUGCAAGACACUGAUGGUCAAAUUUUACUUGAUCAUCGGAGGUUUGUGGGUUUGUUCCAACAGCAUCUGCCUUCGUCUUCUGGAGCGGCAUCGCGUAGUGAAGCUCCAACUGAUCAACCUCCGAUACCUCCUCCUUCCGUGGCCCCGCCGACUGCUGAAGCUCCGCCGACUACUAAAGCACCACCUGACCAAUGAAUGCUAUUAGUUUACACAUCAUUGUAAAAUAUUUUUACUUUUAUGUUUUUUUUUUUUUUUUUUUUUUUUUUUUUUUUUUUUUUAGGUGUGUUUUGUUUUUUUUUUUUUUUUUUUUUUUUUUUUUUUUUUUUUUUUUUUUUUUUUUUUUUUUUUUUUUUUUUUUUUUUUUUUUUUUUUUUUUUUUUUUUGUUUUUUUUUUAAAUCAAUGUAAAAUAUGUAAAUCAAUGUAAAAAGACUUUGUUUAACCUUCCCCCACACUUAAACUAAAUAACACAAACUCACAGAAAUCAACCAAAUAACACAACUAACUGAACAAAACAAAAUGAAAGCAGUAAAGAUAAGGGUGUAAGAAUGCAAAUCUGAUUUGGUUAGCGAUUCCAAAGUCUCCCUUCGUUGAAUGCUUGGGUUGCCUCCCAAGAAGCGCUUGAUUUAACGUCUUUAGCCGGACGAAUCUUUCCUUUAAAUUCCCCUCGGCUCCAAAGCAUGAAAUUUAUCUUUUAAUGGGAGGUGAUACUUGAAAUGAUUCGGCAAUGGUUUAAAUUCAAGAGUGGGUGCCUGAAUCAUCAAAAUCAGAAACAUGUUAGUAUAAAUUAAAAUUAAAAUUGGAGAAGAUGGCUUACCUUCUUUUUCCGACACAAACUCAAUGACAAACACCACAUUGUUGAACAUUUCCGGGACUUUGAACUUGGCCAGGUUUACAAUGAUGGUUGUGGCUUGUCCCGUGUCAUCAAACUCAACUGCUUUGGGCUUGAUUGUGUCAUGCACAGCCUCUUGGAUGUAUUCUUGAUAUGCUUCAACCACUUCAUUUUCUUGAAUCCCUUUUCUUGGUGUGCAAGGUUCUUUGAACGUUUCAAUACCAUCGGGAACUUGUUUUGGUGCACCAAGAAUUGGGAUAUCACUUUGCACCUUUGGAAGAGCUUCCACAAUGUCUUUUUCACUCUCUUUGAUAUUUGGAAUCAAAAACCUGCAAGGACAAAGGACAUUCGGUGGAAUAAUGUUAGAAUGAAGUGAAUUUAGAACUUCCUCACCUGAGUUGGAUGACAUAGGGAUUUGAGGAGCUUGCAGCAAGAAUUCUUCUAAACUGCCCAGGUCGUCCUCCUCCUCUUCUGCUUGCAGCAGCAAUUCAUCCAUGUUCGGGCUGUGUUUGGAUGGUUCUGGGACAGCUUCAUCCUUCAUGUCACCUUCCAAAGUGAUGGCUUCAUCGAAUUCAACUUCUGCCUUUGAAUUUGCAAUGUUUGAGUUGGAAAGUUCACUUUGCUCUUGAAUUUGUACCAUGAAUUCCAUAAUCUCUCCCAUUUGACUCUUCAAUUUAUCCAACUCCUUCUCUUGAUUUUGUUGGUCCUGCGUCAAAGAGGUUAGUACUUGAAGAAUUUGAUCACUAUCCAUGGACAUACUUGAAUUAGAUUGGAAUUGUUGUGGGGUAUGCGGUGGUGGCUGUAUAGGUGUGGUGUAGAACUCCUCAUAUGGCUGCCAAUAUGCAUCUUGUUGAGCCUCCUUGGCUUGAUUUUGUGAGCCCUGCACCAAACAAUUUAAUUCAUUAAGAAUUUGAUUAUAAUUUAUUGACGAACCUGAGUUUGAUUGAGCAUAUUGCAUAGGUUUUGAAUAGAACUCCUCCUCUUGCUGCCAAUAUCCAUCUUGUUGGAAUUGUUGAGGUUCCCCCCACAUAUAAUUUGAAUGACCUCUCCAAUCUGAAUUGCAAGCGUUGGUAAACAUGUUGCCCCUUGAUUGGUUAUAGCCUUGAUAUCCCCAAACAUCUUCAUUUGCAGAAAAUUGAGGACUUUGAUAACCUUGCCCAUAGGGCACAUCAAAUGUAGGGGCACUUUGCAUUGUGGUCCUUUCAGCAUUAUGAGUCAAUUGAGCAGUGAGCUGUGCCAAUUGAGCUUGAAUGGUCGCAAGUGCCAUGUCUUGCUCCAUUUGUACCUAAAAUCAAAGAAAGAAAAAUAAAUCAAAUAUCAAAAGUAAAAUACACAAACACCAAUAUAAACAUAAGCAAAAACAAAAAUAAAGGGAUUAGCAAAGUUGCUAAUCCCCGGCAACGGCGCCAAAAUUUGAUGUGAGAAUUACUUGACACACAAAUUAAACCCUCUUUUUGACAAUUGUAGUAUAGAUGUAAGUAGGGUAUCGUUAUAGGCCGGGGAUUAGGAGGGAUUGCUAAUCUAUUCUAAAUUAAUUUAAAAAUAUUAAACAAGACUCAAGGACACAAAACUAGGCUAAAAACUCUAAUAACUUGAAACACACUUAGAAUGACUCAAAAUAAUGAAAACAAUCAAAUUAGACACUAGGAACUGAAAUGGACGGAAACUGAAUUAAAAGACUAACAACAAUGAAAACUAACUAAAUAAUAUAAUUUAAUAAUGGGAAGGGUUUGGUUUUGACGAGAAGUAAAUUAAACUUAAAUAAAUUACAGAAUUGACAAAAGCAUGAAAUUAAGGUGAAAGGAUAAGUGAUAGACUAGAUAGAGGGUUCUUCUCCACACAUGAUACAUAUGCAACCUAAAUUGAUUUUCAGUUGUUCUUUCAAUAAAUUGUGAAUCUCAAUACUUCAGAUUAACCGUGAACAGCACUUUUUUAAUCUUCAAGUUUUCCUUAAGUUAUUGAAUUGGACGGAAAAACGCAUACAACAAUUCAAAACAUUCUUCAAAAGUCCCCUACGUGAAAAGCACAAUAGAGAUACAAUUAAGGAUCAUUAAACUUUGUGAAAACUAUAAGCAUUGACGAGGCAUUCGUAACUAUGAAAAGCAUGAUACUCUUGCCAAGAAUUUACUUAACGUGAUUGUGACUAGCAACCUUCACUACUUGUGACUAUAUGUUCAUAACGAUUAGGUGAAAUUCACUUAUAUUCUAGCAUCAAAUUCAUGCAUGU